AUGUCCUAAGAACGCGUGGGCUGGUGUGGGCUGAAUCCAUGUGGUUUUAGGACACGA
Molecule: microRNA precursor, 57 nt
Filed under: Gadus morhua (Atlantic cod)
Lineage: Eukaryota; Metazoa; Chordata; Actinopteri; Gadiformes; Gadidae
Description: Gmo-Novel-10_pre stem-loop
Source: RNAcentral